This 173-nucleotide ribosomal RNA is filed under the name Salmonella enterica. RNAcentral's name for it is "partial 23S ribosomal RNA". It matches the Rfam family "Bacterial large subunit ribosomal RNA", at positions 1 to 174 of the family's 2925-position model. Lineage: Bacteria; Pseudomonadati; Pseudomonadota; Gammaproteobacteria; Enterobacterales; Enterobacteriaceae. The record is from RNAcentral.
GGUUAAGCGACUAAGCGUACACGGUGGAUGCCCUGGCAGUCAGAGGCGAUGAAGGACGUGCUAAUCUGCGAUAAGCGCCGGUAAGGUGAUAUGAACCGUUAUAACCGGCGAUUUCCGAAUGGGGAAACCCAGUGUGAUUCGUCACACUAUCAUUAACUGAAUCCAUAGGUUAA